Molecule: non-coding RNA, 775 nt
Organism: Danio rerio (zebrafish)
Lineage: Eukaryota; Metazoa; Chordata; Actinopteri; Cypriniformes; Danionidae
Source: RefSeq, a predicted model, not a curated record
AAAAUGAGCUAGAGGUCUGAAACUGAGAACAUCUGCAGAGGAUAUGCAGAGCUGACAAUAUUGUGUUAAUUUUUUGUGUUAUAAAUUCUUCCAAUGUCUGUUCCUAAUGUCCCACAUGCUCUAGUUCUUUAAUUCAGUAGAGAGUGCGGAAAUAAGGGACCGAAUAAGUAAAGGAAUGUUGUCAGGUGUGAUGUCAGAGGGCUGGUUUGUGAUGUCGUGAUGAACCGGUGGAGUUACAUUACACUAUCUACAAACGCAGGUGAAACACGGUGUUACAGAAACUGAGUGAAUCUACAGAAAGAUUAAUGGCAUCGAUUCAGGUACACCUUUCAACGAUGAGUGACGAGAUGCAGCGGGAAGCUCUACAGUGCGCUCUUCUGGCUGUCAAUAUGUAUAACAAUGGCAAAGACAUUUGUAAUUACAUCUAUCAGGAAUUUCAAAGAAAACAUGGGAGCACCUGGCACUGCAUUGUGGGAAAUACUGAGAGUUACUUAGUGGGAUCCGAAGAUGACUUUUUUAUUGACUUCUCUGUUGGCAACAGGAAGAUAGUGCUUUUCCACACAGCCUAGCAACAGCAACAAUUCAAACAUAUUUUAUUAAAGCAACUAAUAAAAUGUAUAAAUUUAUAAACUUAGAAAAAACUUUUUUCAUUUUACCAAUAUUUCAAAUAAACAUGAACAUUUACCGGGCUGAAGCUAUACUGUGGUUAAUGUCAUUGUUUCUCAACGUUCCUGGAGGACCACCAUCUCUGCACAUUUUCUCCUAAGUGAAGUUU